This 535-nucleotide ribosomal RNA is filed under the name uncultured bacterium. RNAcentral describes it as "bacterial SSU rRNA". It matches the Rfam family "Bacterial small subunit ribosomal RNA", at positions 93 to 614 of the family's 1533-position model. The record is from RNAcentral.
UAGUGGCGAACGGGUGAGUAACACGUGGGGAACCUGCCCAUGAGAGGGGGAUAACAUCCGGAAACGGAUGCUAAUACCGCAUACGUCAUUGGACCGCCUGGUCCGGUGAUAAAAGACGGCUUCGGCUGUCGCUCAUGGAUGGCCCCGCGGCGCAUUAGCUAGUUGGUGAGGUAACGGCUCACCAAGGCCAUGAUGCGUAGCCGACUUGAGAGGGUGAUCGGCCACAUUGGGACUGAGACACGGCCCAAACUCCUACGGGAGGCAGCAGUAGGGAAUCUUCCACAAUGGGUGAAAGCCUGAUGGAGCAAUGCCGCGUGAGUGAAGAAGGUCUUCGGAUCGUAAAGCUCUGUUGUUAGUGAAGAACAAGGGAAGUAGUAACUGGCUUCCCCUUGACGGUACCUAACCAGAAAGUCACGGCUAACUACGUGCCAGCAGCCGCGGUAAUACGUAGGUGACAAGCGUUGUCCGGAUUUAUUGGGCGUAAAGCGAGCGCAGGCGGUCUUUUAAGUCUGAUGUGAAAGCCCACGGCUCAACC